This 289-nucleotide unclassified non-coding RNA is filed under the name fungal sp. RNAcentral describes it as "partial internal transcribed spacer region". The stretch from base 1 to 46 matches the Rfam family "Eukaryotic small subunit ribosomal RNA", at positions 1786 to 1831 of the family's 1831-position model. The record is from RNAcentral. Lineage: Eukaryota; Fungi.
AAGUCGUAACAAGGUAACCGUAGGUGAACCUGCGGUUGGAUCAUUUACGAUCUGCACCCUGACAAAGGGUCGAUCCACAACUGUGCACCGUAAACGUUCUUGGCGGCUGGGAAGCUUCUCCCGAGAUGCGACCCGACGUUCCGAGGUGGAUGUCGAUCUGCGAGGGUCCGAUGUUCCUCCGAGGGCGUAUGCCGUCUGUGAGACAAACACCUUACACUUUUGACUGAUCAUAUGUCACCUAGCGUGAUGCAAAUGAAAACAACUUUCGACAAUGGAUCUCUUGGCUCUC